UGUGUAGGCGGCCUGUUAAGUUCCGUGUGAAAUCUCCCGGCUCAACCGGGAGGGUGCGCGGAAAACUGGCGGGCUAGAGUACGGGAUGGGAGAGUAGAAUUCCUGGUGUAGCGGUGAAAUGCGUAGAUAUCAGGAGGAAUACCGGUGGUGUAGACGGCUCUCUGGACCGUAACUGACGCUGAAACACGAAAGCGUGGGUAGCAAACAGGAUUAGAUACCCUGGUAGUCCACGCCCUAAACGAUGCAUAUUUGGUGUAGGCAGUUCAUUCUGUCUGUGCCGGAGCUAACGCGUUAAAUAUGCCGCCGUGGGGAGUACAGUCGACAAGGCUAGUAA
Molecule: ribosomal RNA, 334 nt
Filed under: uncultured bacterium
Lineage: Bacteria
Description: bacterial SSU rRNA
Rfam family: Bacterial small subunit ribosomal RNA
Source: RNAcentral